ACUGCAAAAGGGAGUAAUAAAAAUGUCUGUCAUGUACAGAGAAGAUUAACAUGGCUCCUGCGCAAGGAUGACAUGCGAAUUCGUGAAUCGUUCCAUAUUUUU
Molecule: small nuclear RNA, 102 nt
Organism: Hippopotamus amphibius kiboko
Lineage: Eukaryota; Metazoa; Chordata; Mammalia; Artiodactyla; Hippopotamidae
Source: RefSeq, a predicted model, not a curated record